AGUCAGAUGUGAAAUCCCCGGGCUCAACCUGGGAACGCAUCUGAUACUGGCAAGCUUGASUCUCGUAGAGGGGGGUAGAAUUCCAGGUGUAGCGGUGAAAUGCGUAGAGAUCUGGAGGAAUACCGGUGGCGAAGGCGGCCCCCUGGACGAAGACUGACGCUCAGGUGCGAAAGCGUGGGGAGCAAACAGGAUUAGAUACCCUGGUAGUCCACGCCGUAAACGAUGUCGACUUGGAGGUUGUGCCCUUGAGGCGUGGCUUCCGGAGUAACGCGUUAAGUCGACCGCCUGGGAGUACGGCCGCAAGUUAAAACUCAAAUGAAUUGACGGGGGCCCGCAACAAGCGGUGNGCAUGUGGUUUAAUUCGAUGCAACGCG
RNAcentral lists this ribosomal RNA (374 nucleotides) under uncultured bacterium. RNAcentral describes it as "bacterial SSU rRNA". It matches the Rfam family "Bacterial small subunit ribosomal RNA", at positions 586 to 963 of the family's 1533-position model. The record is from RNAcentral.